UCACCCCCAGCAUGGAGCCCAGUACAGGGCUUGAACUCAUAACCCUGAGAUUAAGACCUGAGCUGAGAUCAAGAUUCAGACACUUAACUGACUGAGCCUCUCAGUGUUGUGACGGGGACACAGCUGGUCCUGAGAAGGCAUCAUAUUCAGACAAGCAUGUCAGAUUGCAUUCAUUACUGUGGUGGAAGCCCUGAAUUUUAGCUGGCACAUGUCUGCCUCAUUUCACAGCCUCCAUUGCAGGAAAUUUAACAAGCAUGAAGAGUGCCCCCUCCUCUGACAGUGUUUCAAUAUACCUCAGGACUUGUCAUUCUCCUCUUCUAAAAUGUAAAAAAGAAAAUGGUGGGGGAAGGAGAAAAGAAAAGGUAAAGUAAAAGGUAUACUCAUGGUAUUUAGACCUAGUGGACAGUAUUUAAAAGCCCACACAUGAAGCAACUUGUUGUUGGUUUAAAGAAUAAGUAAGUAAAUGACUAGCAGAUUGGGACCUUUUAUGGCAGAACAAUGCAGGGAUGAACUGAGGGCAUUAGUCUCUGAAAGAAAGCUGGACCCAUUACUAGUAAUUAUAGUUAAUCAGCAGCAAUUGUCUUGACUAAGAUACAGAUCAAGAUUGAGCACUAACCCAACAGGACUAAUGGGGGUAAUGGAGGAUGAAGAAAUCCUGAUUGAACUCAGCAAGGCAUUGAACAACCAGAGCAGAUGAUGCAUUUUCAAUCUGUUACUUUAGUCCAGAAAGCACUAGCUUUCUUCAAAUCAG
Long non-coding RNA from Neofelis nebulosa (Clouded leopard), 751 nucleotides. RefSeq lists it as uncharacterized. Lineage: Eukaryota; Metazoa; Chordata; Mammalia; Carnivora; Felidae. The record is from RefSeq and is a predicted model, not a curated record. The transcript has 5 exons.